AGUGAACGCUGGCGGCGUGCCUAAUACAUGCAAGUCGAACGGAGUGGCGCACGGGUGAGUAAUAUAUAGCUAAUCUGCCCCUUGCUGGAGGACAACAGUUAGAAAUGACUGCUAAUACUCCAUAGCAAGGGAUGAGACUAUAUCGUAUCAGCUAGUCGGUGGGGUAACGGCCUACCGAGGCUAUGACGCGUAACUGGUCUGAGAGGAUGUGCAGUAACAUUGGAACUGAGACACGGGUCAAACUCCUUGCGGAGGCAGCAGUAGGGAAUAUCGCGCAAUGGGGGUAUCCCUGAAGCAGCAACGGGGCGUGGAGGAUGACACUUUACGGAGCGUAAACUCCGUUUGUUAGGGAAACGGUACCCAACGAAUAAGCACCGGCUAACUCCGUGCCAGCAGCCGCGGUAAUUC
RNAcentral lists this ribosomal RNA (408 nucleotides) under uncultured bacterium. Its description in RNAcentral is "partial 16S ribosomal RNA". It matches the Rfam family "Bacterial small subunit ribosomal RNA", at positions 29 to 526 of the family's 1533-position model. The record is from RNAcentral.